UACGUAGGGGGCAAGCGUUGUCCGGAAUCAUUGGGCGUAAAGCGCGUGUAGGCGGCCCGGUAAGUCCGCUGUGAAAGUCGGGGGCUCAACCCUCGAAUGCCGGUGGAUACUGUCGGGCUAGAGUGCGGAAGAGGCGAGUGGAAUUCCUGGUGUAGCGGUGAAAUGCGCAGAUAUCAGGAGGAACACCGAUGGCGAAGGCAGCUCGCUGGGACGGUACUGACGCUGAGGCGCGAAAGCGUGGGGAGCAAACAGG
RNAcentral lists this ribosomal RNA (253 nucleotides) under uncultured bacterium. RNAcentral's name for it is "partial 16S ribosomal RNA". It matches the Rfam family "Bacterial small subunit ribosomal RNA", at positions 524 to 776 of the family's 1533-position model. The record is from RNAcentral.